CCUACGAGAGGCAGCAGUGAGGAAUAUUGGUCAAUGGACGAGAGUCUGAACCAGCCAAGUAGCGUGAAGGAUGACUGCCCUAUGGGUUGUAAACUUCUUUUAUAUGGGAAUAAAAUGUUCCACGUGUGGGAUUUCGUAUGUACCAUAUGAAUAAGGAUCGGCUAACUCCGUGCCAGCAGCCGCGGUAAUACGGAGGAUCCGAGCGUUAUCCGGAUUUAUUGGGUUUAAAGGGAGCGUAGGUGGAUUGUUAAGUCAGUUGUGAAAGUUUGCGGCGCAACCGUAAAAUUGCAGUUGAAACUGGAAGGCUGGAGUACAGUAGAGGUGGGCGGAAUUCGUGGUGUAGCGGUGAAAUGCUUAGAUAUCACGAAGAACUCCGAUUGCGAAGGCAGCUAACUGGACUGCAACUGACACUGAGGCUCGAAAGUGUGGGUAUCAAACAGGAUUAGAUACCCCAGUAGUC
RNAcentral lists this ribosomal RNA (460 nucleotides) under uncultured bacterium. Its description in RNAcentral is "partial 16S ribosomal RNA". It matches the Rfam family "Bacterial small subunit ribosomal RNA", at positions 338 to 795 of the family's 1533-position model. The record is from RNAcentral.